This 433-nucleotide ribosomal RNA is filed under the name uncultured bacterium. RNAcentral describes it as "partial 16S ribosomal RNA". It matches the Rfam family "Bacterial small subunit ribosomal RNA", at positions 29 to 507 of the family's 1533-position model. The record is from RNAcentral.
AACGAACGCUGGCGGCAUGCCUAACACAUGCAAGUCGAACGAGACCUUCGGGUCUAGUGGCGCACGGGUGCGUAACGCGUGGGAAUCUACCCUCAGGUUCGGAAUAACUCAGAGAAAUUUGAGCUAAUACCGGAUGAUGACGUAAGUCCAAAGAUUUAUCGCCUGAGGAUGAGCCCGCUUAGGAUUAGGUAGUUGGUGAGGUAAAGGCUCACCAAGCCGACGAUCCUUAGCUGGUCUGAGAGGAUGAUCAGCCACACUGGGACUGAGACACGGCCCAGACUCCUACGGGAGGCAGCAGUGGGGAAUAUUGGACAAUGGGCGAAAGCCUGAUCCAGCAAUGCCGCGUGAGUGAUGAAGGCCUUAGGGUUGUAAAGCUCUUUUACCCGGGAUGAUAAUCACAGUACCGGGAGAAUAAGCUCCGGCUAACUCCGUG